GACGAACGCUGGCGGCGUGCCUAAUACAUGCAAGUCGAGCGAGUCUGCCUUGAAGAUCGGUGUGCUUGCACUCUGUGAAACAAGAUACAGGCUAGCGGCGGCCGGGUGAGGAACACGUGGGUAACCUGCCCAAGAGAUCGGGAUAACAACUGGAAACAGAUGCUAAUACCGGAUAACACCAUAUGAUACCUAUCCACUGUUUAAAAGAUGGUUCUGCUAUCACUCUUGGAUGGACCUGCGGUGCAUUAGCUAGUUGGUAGGGUAACGGCCUACCAAGGCGAUGAUGCAUAGCCGAGUUGAGAGGCUGAUCGGCCACAUUGGGACUGAGACACGGCCCAAACUCCUACGGGAGGCAGCAGUAGGGAAUCUUCCACAAUGGACGAAAGUCUGAUGGAGCAACGCCGCGUGAGUGAAGAAGGGUUUCGGCUCGUAAAGCUCUGUUGUUGGUGAAGAAGGACAGGGGUAGUAACUGACCUUUGUUUGACGGUAAUCAAAUAGAAAGUCACGGCUAACUAAGUG
RNAcentral lists this ribosomal RNA (519 nucleotides) under uncultured bacterium. RNAcentral's name for it is "partial 16S ribosomal RNA". It matches the Rfam family "Bacterial small subunit ribosomal RNA", at positions 28 to 507 of the family's 1533-position model. The record is from RNAcentral.